UAAUAAAGAAUUGUACUUUCUUCAGAACUCGGCUUCUGGACUGUGGGUUCCAGCAAAGUAAAGGUCUUUGCUGCCAGCACUAUGCCUUUGACUAUUUUCUGGGUGAGUCCACACUUGCACAGAGUGGGGAUUUUCCUGGAUAUAGGUAUGAGGUUCAUUUCUUUUUAUGAUGUUAGUGAUGGGUGCCAUAUCUACACAUUCAACAAAAUUUCUGUUAGGGAGCCGCUGCGUCCAUUUUUUGCUCAUAAACGUGAAACUCAAGAUGAUCAGAGCUUCCUGAAUAUCUUUCCUGUAAUGGAUCCAGACAGUGCCAGUCCCCUAGUUUAUUCUGGGGAAAGUAAAUAA
This 345-nucleotide long non-coding RNA is filed under the name Homo sapiens (human). Its description in RNAcentral is "non-protein coding lnc-PPARGC1A-6:1". The record is from RNAcentral. Lineage: Eukaryota; Metazoa; Chordata; Mammalia; Primates; Hominidae.